Molecule: ribosomal RNA, 412 nt
Filed under: uncultured bacterium
Lineage: Bacteria
Description: bacterial SSU rRNA
Rfam family: Bacterial small subunit ribosomal RNA
Source: RNAcentral
GGGCCCGCACAAGCGGUGGAGCAUGUGGUUUAAUUCGAUGAUACGCGAGGAACCUUACCAGGGCUUAAAUGCAGAGCGACAGAGGUGGAAACACCUCCUUCUUCGGACGGUCUGCAAGGUGCUGCAUGGUUGUCGUCAGCUCGUGCUGUGAAGUGUCGGGUUAAGUCCCAUAACGAGCGCAACCCCUAUUUCUAGUUGCCAGCGGUUCGGCCGGGGACUCUAGAGAAACUGCCAGCGUAAGCUGUGAGGAAGGUGGGGAUGACGUCAAAUCAUCACGGCCCUUACGUCCUGGGCCACACACGUGCUACAAUGGUAAGGACAGAGAGUUGCCAACCCGCGAGGGUGAGCUAAUCUUUAAAACCGAUCUCAGUUCGGAUCGCAGUCUGCAACUCGACUGCGUGAAGCUGGAAUC